UUUACACGCAAGUCAUAUUAGCGGUAUAAGCUAUACUAAAAAUAACAUUUUCUGUGUUUUCUUUUUACCUAAACAACAUUUUUCUGUGUUAUUAUGCGAUUGUUGUACUUUUGCAUCGACACGUGUCCGAACCGUAGUGGAAAAAAUGUGUCGGUAGUAGCAGAACUUAGGUGAGGGGUUUGGUAUACAAGAUAAAUAAUGGAGGGCAUGGUGAUAUAUCGUCGUUGUUGCACUACUCCCUGACUUCACGAGAGGGUUAGAAUCUGUAGCUUUGUUUUGGCCUACUUUGAUUGAAAGAAAACAUGGAGUUUGAUGUUAAAGUGUCGUUUUUAACAAUAUUGUAAAGCCCUCGGACUAAAGCCAGUUGACCCCAUGGGAUGAAUACAUAAAGGUCACGGGAUGAAUACAUAAGAACAUCUUCACCCCUCUUCUAUAAUAGAAAUCUCUAAAAUAAAAAUAAAAGAAAGAAUAGAGAUGAAACUGUUUCUCCAAUGUGUUUUUCUAUAACAUAAUAAGAAUGAUAUGCUUACCUCUAUUAUAAGAAAAACACAUUGGAACAAAGCUUUUAUCUCUAAUUUUUCCUCUAUUUUAGAGAUUUCUAUUAUAGAAAUGAGUUGGAAAUAGUUUAAAGCAAAGAGUUGGACUAGUAAAAUGUGACAUAAAAAGAACAAAUAGUGUUGUUGUCCAAAAAAAAUAAGAAAAGAGUAGAGCUGGGUUGCGGGUCAAACCCGCCCCGCUGACCCGCCAACCCGCGGGUAAACUGAUUUUUUUUACUUAAAAAAUUUGACCCGCUUGACCCGCAAGAAGAAAAUAUGAAAUCCGCACCCGCCCCGCUAAAACCCGCGGGUGAUCCGCUAGACCCGCGGAUAAUAUUAAUAAUAUUAAAAAUUAUUAAUUUAAAUAUUUUUUAUUAAAAUAACAAUAAAAUUUAAUAUUUUAAAUAUUUUUUAUUAAAAAUAACAAUAAAAUUUAAUAUUUUCAAUAUUUUUUAUUAAAAAUAAUAAAUAUUAAUCUAUUUAUAAUUAAAAUUAAAUUAUUUUUUAAAAAUUUUCUAUUUAAAAAUAAUAUUUUCAAAAAAAAUCUUUUUUUUUUAGUUUUUGCGGGUUGGCGGGUACCCGCACUGAAUUUUGGCUGAUCCGCACCCGCCCCGCAUAAAAAUCACUCAACCCGCACCCGCACCCGCGAACCAAAAUUUUCAAAUUACUCGACCCGCACCCGCCCCGCAGCGGGUCAAAUGGGGCGAGGCCCGCGGAUAAUGAUUCAUAUUCCCAGCACUAGAAAAGAGCAAAAAAUGUUUGAAAUUACAAAGGAGAAGCUAAAGGAAACAUGAUUAUAAAUUUAUAUUAAACAGAAUCUUCAUUUUCCCCUUAAUACAUUUUACAAGUUUGUUUUCUAAGCAUUUCCAAUUUCUCCACCACAAAAUUCACAAUGUUUUGUAUUAAACCAAAUAAUGGCCUCUAGUGUCAAUAUUAUACGUCCAAUGAUUACAAAAAAAAUCUCAUUACCAAUUUCGAAAACCUGCGUCUCAAACCCGAUCUAUCUUCUCUAAGAAAAAUAUCAAAGUAUAAGGAUCCAAGUUGCAAAACAGAAAAAUAAUUUUGGACAAAACUCGUGGAAUAUGUUAAACUUUAGCAUUCGUUCGCCAGUGGCUGUUUAUCACAGCUAUGGAGCUGAUCAAUACAAUACUAAAAGGGGAAUAAGGGCUCCCCUCAUGCUUCCACGUCAUCACAAAUAAUCAGCCAAUAGGAAACCACUGAUCAGCCACGUCAGAUGCAGCGCACAUUGCAUUUGGGCCUCACAUCAAAUCGGCCCGAUAGUGUUUGAAAUCCGAAAGCCCGGAGAGUCCAUGUAUCGGUGAAGUCUUCUGUGCGAUCUUCGAUCCCCUUUGUCUUCCUGUUCCGUCGAUUCCCUUUUUCUUCCUCUUCUCCGUUUAUUACGUUUCACAAAUCUUUAUCGUGGACGAUCAAUUUUAUCCCCACUCUACUGAACUUUAAAUCUCACUAAUGGAUCUUUAUCACUUUCUCCGUCCAGCUAUCGAUUUCAAAGGUAUGAUGUCGGGAUUUCGCCAUGCCGGUGUGUCCAAGAUCGGCGUUGGAUCCAUCACCUGUUACCACCAGAUCCGCGCCUACGGAGUUGUCCCGCGGCCUUAAACGGUGGCUCUGAAACAGAGACCAACUCCGAAACCCUAGCUUCACGGAUCUGCUCAAGCCUCCAAUCGUCGCUUAGGUCUGAGAAUCACAAGCAGACGCACUCCCAAGACGGCGGGGAAUAAGCUGGACCGAAGAGAAACAAAUGAGAGAGAACCGCCAUCCCUCACCGUAGAUUCGUCGACACCAUCUCCGUCCAGCUACGACCUCUGAACUUCAUCACUUAUUAAUUCAAUCUCCAUCAAUCAUCAAUCAUCUUCACCACCCUUAGCAUUCAGAAGUAUCUUCUGAUUAGCCAAUUAUAGCAGUGGAUCUCCCAAAUUCCUUUUAUCUCGCGUUUUCAGCGGUACUCAUACCAGCCACCGUGAUAACUAUCUCACUGGUGUCUCUGUUGGGGACUGUCCACGUUUAGGGUACAUCAAAGUUUAGAAAUUUGACGGAGUCAUUGCAUAUACACUUGGUGGAGUGCAGUCCCGCGUUGCAGAAACUUCAGCACCAGAACCUGAAGUGCACAGAAGAAAGUAGUUUGGAGAAGAAAGCUAUAAGUUCACUAGCUGGGACACCUGUGCACUGGCACACUACUCUUGAAGAGGUACCAUCAGGAGUACCAACAAUAAUCAUAGCUCAUGAGUUCUAUGAUGCUCUUCCAGUUCAUCAGUUUCAGGUUUGUGUGAUUUGCAAUAUAGUCUUCUCAUUUUUCCAGCUUGUGCUUCUCUUUCUGGUUAUUUUCUAUGUUCUGUGUAUGUUGCUUUCAAAGCAGUUCAUCUUGAAGAAACAACAUGAAGCUCUCCAGAAGCAACAAGGUCAGUCUUACGCACCUAAUGAAGAGAUGGAUGAGAGUCUUCAUGUAGCGACAAGUGGACGAUCACAUGGGCACGGGGAGUUUGAAUUCAGCGAGAUCUUUGUGCAUCGGUUUUUUCACACCAUAGAAUUUUUUGCUUAGAGCUGUUUCCAACACCUCUUCUUACCUGCGUAUAUGGGCUCUCAGUCUUCACACUCGGAGAUAUCGUCAGUCUUCUAUGAGACUAUGAGAAGGUCGCCCUUCUCGCUUGGGGUACAACAAUGUGUUGAUCCUGAUCGUUGGGAUCAUUGUUUUCAUAUUGUGGGAUUGCUGCUGGUGAUAGAGACACUGAGCACGUUCCUUCGCGCACUGCGUCUCCACUUGGUGGAGUUUCAGAACAAAUUCUAUGCUCAUUUCUCUUUCGUUCUCACCGGAAACGAAGACGAUUGAUAGGGAUGAAUGAUUGUUCCAUUCCUAUCCCAUUCUCUGCAAAAUUUGCAUAUAUAAAAAAGGAACAAGACAAACCAAGUUUUAUUUAUUUUCUGCGAAUAUAUUUUUCCCCUUCCACUUUCAGGGUGGACAGAAUUAAAUAUGUUUAUUUUGUUUGCCUGUCUGGAGAUUAGAUUUUUUUAAACAACAGUAGAGAAGGGGCUAAUGGAAUUUGUAUAAGGUAAACUCAUUUGUUGAUGUGUUUGUUUGGAGUUAAAUACGUGAGGAUUUGUUUCCACUUACUAUACAGUUCAUCUACUGAAAAUUGUUUGUCAAUAAGGAAUCAAAUACUCGACAAAUCACUUUUCUUUAUCGAGAUAACACAACUUCUAGAAUCUCUAACAGUUUGUUUGGAAUUGGUGUUGUUGUCUGCAGGCACAAUCCUUUUUGCGAGAGUCAAUCCUUUUUGAUGAGGUCCUAUAACAAAUUAAGGUACUUUAACUAAGUUCUCUCUUACAAACAAAUAGAAAGUAAACUAGAAUAAUGAUUUGUUUCAGAAUUUACAAUUUUGCUUAUCUAAAUACAGGUGAGAGCCUGAGAGAGUUUGGCAUAUUAACUUUGCUUAGGGUUUUGUUUUUUUUCUUCAUCUGUUUUAGGAGUUGAAUAAUAUUUUGACAGACUUGAGUGUGCCAGUCUUUACUUAUGAGAUAUUAUGUGUGUUGAGCCAAAUAAAAUGUGUUUUGGUUCUAUACACGUGAUUGAAUAUUUCUCUUCUUUUUUUUUUACAUUUUGUGUGGAAGUACAUUUGCUUAUUGUUAGCUUGAGGUUCAGUUUCUAAUGUCACUCAGAUCACAAUGGAAUAAUAUAUAACAUUUCAGAUUUUUGCAUAUUUGAAAUUUUUUGCAGCAAAUUAAACGUACUGUCUGGUCUUAUACAAAAACAAAUUUCUCUAUUCAAAUAGAAACAUUAGAUUUCUUCAGGUGCAAAAAGCUGAUGUGGUGUGAAAUUUGUUGAUUAUGAUCUGUUUUUAACGUAAAAUGUACAUUUAGUAGUCACACAGUAAGUUAAAGUGAUCAACCUUCUCUCAUUUUCAGUUACCACAAUUGGUUAAGAAUGGAUUAGUAAUAAUAUAUUCAAAUUUAAACGAUUUUGUAACUGUCAUAGUGGUAAAAAAUAAAAAGGGAAUAUCUAAAUUAGAUUUCUUACAUUAAUCAAUUUAUUUAUUUUUAUGUGUUAAAAUGUUGUUUGGAAAUCAUAUCCUAACUUUAAUUAGGAAGAAGUUAAAAAUUUAUGAAUGGUGCUAUUGUUAAAAAUUCUUAAAAAAAAACGGAGUUUGUCAAUAAAAUCGUACCAUAAGUUAUGUAAGUUUGGUUGAAUAUCUAAAAAUUAAGACAUGGAAGGAGUCACUGGAUAUCAAUACAAAGAUUCAUGUUUUGCCUCUAUAUGCAUAAUAAAUAUAUAUAUAUAUAUAUAUAAACAUACCUGAAGCGAAAAAUAAAUAGAUUUUGAUUAAAUGAAAAAAAGUUUCACAUCAAAUUUGUAGAAACAUAGAUAUAAAGAAGCUUAAGGAACAAAAGUAAUCACUAAAUUACAUAUUAACUUAGAAUUUGUAAAAUCUUACAAUAUUUAUUUAAAAAUGUUUGCUAUAAUAACGUCUCCUCCAUAUAUAUUAACAAUCAUGCGUACUCAGUUGCGGUAACAAAGAACAUAUGAAAAAAAUUGUAUAAAAAAAAAUGAGAAAACGCUAUUUUGAACUAAAUGCUUAAAAGUCAUAAAAAAUGGAUACAGAGAGAUGUAAUCUCCAUAAAUGUGCAGAGCAAUGUGUAGAAACUACAUGACAUUUUUUUGUCAAUGCAAAAAGAUACAAUCUUGACAUGAAUAUGAAAACGGAUCACAGUAUAACCCCAACAUAAGAAUACAACCCAAUUUAAUAACAAAAUACACACCUAGGAUAUUAUUUUCUUAACUUAAACUCCAGAAAAGUCUACAUAAAAAGUUCAUCAAUCACAACAAUGCUAAAAAACACGUAAAAAUAAUGAAAUAUAAUAAAUAAUUGAGAUUUAUAGAAAUAGUUGUCAAAUGUUGAUCUUAAGAUUAUUUAGGUUUAUGAAUGCUUUUCCAUAUUUAGAGUGAAAGCUAUAAGCACAAAAUAUGAUUUUUUUUAAGAUGACACGUAUUAGAUGACAUACAUUUGGAAGACUAUUAAACUAUAUUAUAAUUUUACAAUACAUUGUAACAGUUUUAGUGUCACUUUUAAGUAUUAUAGCAAAUCUUAUUUUGAAUCUCAUAUGAUCCAGUCAAGAGAGGUCAUGUUAAAUCCUCGCAUUUUCCCUUGGUUUCAGGACAUAACUAAUGAUAUAUUUUCAAGAUUACUAUGGUUGGAGUCUUGGAGUAUUGAACAUGUUAUUCCAAGGAGGAAUAUACAGUGUUACAUGCGAGAAUAGGGCAUCACUCCUACAUUGAUGUGGCUGGUCCGGCUUGGUUGCAUUCGAUGCUUGCUCAAUAAAGCGGAAAUGCUUGAAACCCGUAUCUACCAUCAAACAUCUACCAACAACAUCAUAUGAAGCAGGUAAAAGAAUAGACACACACGAUGUAAGAGCUUAUUUAGAGAUACUGGUGAUUCCAUGAUUACAAACAAUUUUGAAUUCAUUAGAGAAUAAAACAUACGAUGAAGCGUGAUAGUGAAUUUGUCGAAGAAGACAAAGUAGUGAUUGCUCAUUAAGAAGUCCAUGAUGCUGCGUUUGGAGGAUGUGCCAGAAAGAGAGAAGAAGACGGUAAAGAAGCAAAAGAAAAUGUUGAAAAUGGUAGCCAAGGCUUUGGGUGCGCUAGAGAGGACAAAGAGACACAAACUAGCUCAGUGAGUAAAUCAUGCCGAAAAAUUACUUGUGAUAUAGUUUGGAAUUGUAAUAUGCAGAACAUGAUCGUAUUAUUAUCGUGAGAAAUUAUGUACUUGUGUUUUGUCUCAAUUCCACCAUGUUAGUUUAUUGCAGUGUUCUUUGUACUCUUUACAUUACUUGGCCUUUAACCGGAAUUACAUCUUUGAUCUAAAUGUACAAUCUUUAAUUUAGGUAUUUAAACAAUCGGAAAGAAACUAACAAAAGAAAGACUUAGACUUUAACAAAGAGAAGUAGAAUGAAAGAGAUGAACCACACAAGAUAAAAAAAGGAAAAAUCAGUUAAUGAGCUUUGGCCUUCUCUUUAAAUACACCUACAAGAUUAACCGUCUUUGUAAGACCAGUUUUACUUGCUUUGGAAAUUGUUGAUAGAGCUCCAUCUUUCUUGGAAAAGGCAAUUAAGAUUUGUAUAGGAUUAAGGAAAUUUGACAAAACCAUCAAAGAAGACAAACUAAUACCACAUUAAACAAUAACGACCAACAAACGUUUUAAAAUUUCUGUUCACAAAAGAAUAAAGAAAUAUUAAAAAUCAAAAUAGUAUAUGGUGUUUACGAAAACAAAUAUUAAAGGCUCGAAGUAAGAAAAAAACUAAUCGUCUAAAUCACAAAAAAUUUUAAAUGGAAAUUAAAAUAAUAAGGCUAUAUCGAAUUAGAAAUCAUUUUUAUUUUUAAUUUGUGAUAUUAGUACAAGAUUGUUGAAUGUUUUUACUGGACAUGAAAAAAAUAAUAAGAUAAUAAUGUUUUUGGAUCAUAGUUUUGGACUGAAAAUAUAUUCAAAAUUCCCCUAAUUAGUAUAUACAAUUCAUUUUUAAUAACAGCAUUAACAUGAUUGUAGUUUAAAAAAUAGUAAUUUUAGAACAAACUAAUAUAUAAUAAUAAAAUUUAAAUAAAUAGUGAUAUAUUUAGAAUAGUUUGAUUAUCAUUUUACACUGAAUUUUAAUCCAGAAUAAUAUUUUAACUAUAGCUAGAUUUUAAGAUAUUUUUGUUUAUAACUAAUACAAUAAUAUAGUAAUAAUAAUUCCUGACAAAAAAUAGUAAUAAUAAUAUUUUAUAGAAUUUUCAGUGUAUUUAAGACAUACAACAUUUUUAAAAGUUUUUUAAUUUAAAGCAAUGAGUAUUUAAAUUAGCCUUAUGUAUUAUAAUUGUAAAAAUUUUUAUUAUAAUCGUAAGAAAAUAUAUUUUAAAAGAUUAAAUUGCAUAUAAAAAAAACAUAAUUAUGAUAUAAAUAAUACAUAUAACAAAGAAAUAUGUGAUGUGGAGAUUAAAAAUAUAUUUUCUUAAUAACCUAAAUAUGUAAUAAAAUAUAUUUUGGAGAAUUACUAAGGUUUAGCAAAAAAAAUUAUUCAUUUCACAUUUGUUCACCAUCCCAUACAUAUUUUAGAUAGUGGAAAAAUUGUAAGUUUUACUGAUUAUAAUUCAGUUUAUUAUUUAUAUUUUAUAACAUAUAUGUAAUAUAUUGUAAUAUAGAUAUUAAAUACAAUAUUAUUUGAAUAAACCCGGGCGUAGCCCGGGUAAAAUCUCUAGUCUUGAAUAAGAGAGAAACAAAGUAGAGAGAGAGAGUGUAACAAACUUUAUUAAUCUCACAUUAACCGUAAAAUGUAUGUACAUUGUAGUUUUAUACUGUACAGUAAAUACAGAAAAAUAUACAAAAAGUGUAUGUAUAUAUAGUAAUACUGUUGAUGCGACAGAACGACUGAGGCAGCAAGGAUGAAACGACGCCUAGUAGAGCUUUGAGACAAGGCUUGAGAGACCGGCUGGUCUGUCAAAUAUCUCAUCGGGCUUCAGAGAUCUGCGGGUCUGUCGGAGAUCUCGUCGGGCUUGUUCUGAGUGUCAUAUGUUAACUUUGCAGAACAAGCUAGAGUAAUCAAUUUAUGUUGAGUAGUCUCACAAUUUCAAUAGCGUACAAAUCAAUUCUAAAUCACCAUUGAUGCCAGCAAUGAAUUAGUACUAGGGAUGAUUCUCUCUGCAAGUGAAAAAAUUGAAACGCAGGAAGCUGAGGAUAUUCUCUCUCAAUGUGAAGACAUUAUAAAGAAGGAUGCUGAAGGUAGCAGCAGCAGCCACAGCGAAGUGAAUAGCUGCCAUGCGAGCAAUAAAUUAGUGCUAGCGAUUAUUCUCCGUCUAUUUCGAUACAUUAAAAAGAAGGAAGCUUAAGGUAGCAGCAGCAAAAAGAGAAGUGGAAAACAUUGAAACUGAGACUAACAUCACCGAUGUUGAUGUCCGUCUACUACAGGUUUUCUAAGAAAAGUAUUCGUGGGCUUUAUUUUGGUUUGUUGUCUUAUUUGUUAAGCUAGGGUUUCGUUUAGUAUUUUCUAUUUAAGAAGAAAACCUUAGGCUAUAUUUGUAAGGCAGCUUUGUUAUUUUAAUAAACUGAGAUUCCUCUUAAACUCUUGUUUUUAAUUCGACUUAAUCCAUCAAAACAGAAAGCUGAUCUCAAAUGGUUCUUUGAAUCCCUUGAUUGAGCAAAACAGGUCCUAAAAAGGAUUAUGGCAGAUCUCACAAAGAAAUUACAACAACUCAAAACAUUUAUUAACGUCUCUUAUUAGGAUUUUUUAAUGACGUUUUGGUUUCAUGCGUGCAGCUUAUAUCAAAGUGAAUUUAAUGGCAUAUUUAACGAAUAUAUGAAGCCUAAGAGCAUCAUUAUAUUAGGGUUUCUUAAUGAUUAUUUAAGUAUUUAAAUUUAUUUAAGAACUCUAGUUAAAAAAAAACUAUUCGAUUUUGUGCUCCCAUGGUAGUUUCUUAACUAAGGGUUCUUAAAAAAAAAAUACCAAACUUUUUUUGAUUAAUACUAAAAUUUAUUUAUUAAAUAAAACAUAUUAAAAGAUAAAACUAUAUAUGUUCUUUGGUUUUUUUAAUUUAUUCUUACAUGAUUUUGAAUGGUCAUGGGAGAUUAUUGGUAUCUACAGACCUUCGAGUGAAGAGAGACAUUUUCCAGUAGUUUUUUGUAUAGUUGCUAAAACAAGUUGUGAUGUUGUGUCUUACUCUUUGCUGGUGAAUCCUUUUGAGUUCACAGUUUGUUCAACUCUUGCCAUGUAAAUAAAUCUCUCUCUCUUGUCUCUUCUACUUUGUUCUUGAUGAGGAUCACUUUGUUGUAUUGACAUAUUAAUCUAAUUUAAUUUGCAAAUUUUGCUUCUGUCUCAAGAAGAAAAGAGAGAAGCAACUGGACAACACCAUAAACUCAAUGAUGUCAGGGGACUUAUUAUAAACGGUUGUUGGAAUCGUUUCUUUAAAGGUGCCAGACUUUUGAAAAAAGUAGAACAAGAUUAGUGUCAAAAAUAGGGAGAUCAUUCAAGUAUUACUUAUCUUUGUGGUUGUUACACAAUUCGUGGAACUGUAGAAGUUAAGGCCUAGCCUAAGCUGAGAAAGAACAAAAUAAUUAUGUUGGACCUAGAACAGGACUGUGUAUGGCAAUGAAAAAAUUCCUACUUCAGACAAAAACUGAAAACUAGGAAAACAUGAUUCCCCCGGCUUCUGCAAGUUCAUGACCAUGUCUUUAUUCAUAGUAGACUUGGUAGAAACAUUCUCUUGCCGCCUAGUACCAAGAAGCCAGUCAUCGCUGUUGCUACUGUCUUCUUCAAUGGAGAGACAAGGAAGAACAGGUUCAUCAAACAGUGAACUGUACCGGAAUUCUUUGCUUGUCUUAUGUUUUUUUUUCUUCUUUGAUUCAGAAAGAACUGUAGUCUUGUCACUAUCAAGAGAAGCUAGUUGUCUUUUAGCUUAUUUGUGGGCUUUAUUUUGGCUUGUUGUCUUUUAGCUUAUUUGUUAAGCUAGGGUUUCGUUUAGUGUUUUCUAUCUAAGAAGAAGACGUUAGGCUAUAUUGUAAGGCAUCUAUGCUAUUUUAACAAACUGAGAUUCCUCUU
Molecule: long non-coding RNA, 10106 nt
Organism: Brassica rapa (field mustard)
Lineage: Eukaryota; Viridiplantae; Streptophyta; Magnoliopsida; Brassicales; Brassicaceae
Source: RefSeq, a predicted model, not a curated record